AGCCCUUUUUUACAGAUGGCAAAAGUGUCCAGGUCAUGGCUUGAGUCCUUGUCAAUCACUGUGCUCAAAUAUUUGUAGAACGCUAGCCUUUCUACUUGCUAAUAUUUAUCCAGAUAAAGUCGACUUUAUUCAAUUGUGGUGAAGUUUACAAUACUGUCUGAAUGUUAGUAUGAUAAAUGCUAGCUGUACAACUUUUGCAGGUUUACCGAAGAGAAUAAAAGCUGUGGGAAGCGGCUGUCAGAAAGAGGCCAACGCUUUCCUGUGAUAAUCUGCCUCCUGUGAUGGCCAGUAGGCUAAUUAUAUUGAUGUAGAGGGCAGUAAUGACACUAAAAAUGUGUCCGUGCUUUUUAUGUUGUGGCGUUAUGAAGUGAGGUCCAUUUGAAAAACUUGUCAGUUCUGCCACAUCCAACAUGGCAGACACGCUGAUGUUUUACAGCAACCUGUCUACAUUCUCCUCUGUCUUCCGUACAGGGCGGAGUGAGCGAUGACGCUGGGCAACGGUGCUGGGCAGUGCACACGGGGGGCGGAUAGUUGUGUCAGCCAGAACUAGAGCUGGGGCGAGUGGUAUGAGCAGCCGAACGACCGGGACGGAGAAACCGCUGGAGCGAGCUCGUCAGUUUGUUAGUUUUUGUUGUUGGGUGUUUUUUCUGUUUUGUUUUAAAAAAAGAAAAUACAUGUAUGACGUCACAGGCCCCAGUCGCCCAAGUGACCAGAUGAUGCAGGUCUCGUGGAUAACGUGUGCGGUUGUAGUGAUGAGGUCUUCAAUGGACCGGGGAAGGGAGCUCUAAUGGCUCUCCGCGGCCCGGGCUGCAAGGAGACACCGAGGGAAGCGUACAGCAGCGGCGGCAGGUAUCAGGGAAGCGACGCGGUGUCCGCAGCUCGCGAAAAAGAAGCGCCACGGUGCGGCUGUCGUGUUUUUCACCGGAGGGUACGAGCGGCAAGGGGAACAUGGCCGCGCAGUCGGACGGGAAAGCCGGGGUGGGUUUCGCCCAGCUUUACGACGUCGACGCCGACGAGCCGCUGAAUUCGGCCGCCAUCCACAUCUGCCAGUGCUGCCGCUCUUCAGCGUGCUACUGGGGCUGCCGCUCCGCGUGCCUCGGCACAUUAUUCGGCGGAGGCCAACCCGCCGCAGGGGGCGUCGGCAUCCGGGAAACUCACUGCCCACCGCGGCAGCAGCUGUGGCUGGACUGCCUCUGGAUCAUACUGGCCCUCCUUGUCUUCUUCUGGGACGUUGGUACGGACCUGUGCCUCGCGGUGGAGUACUACCAGAGGGGGGACUACCUGUGGUUUGGCCUCACGCUCUUCUUCGUCUUAGUGCCAUCGGUGCUGGUCCAGAUUUUGAGUUUCCGCUGGUUUGUGCAGGACUACACUGGCGGGGGGCUCGGGGAGGUGGAGGGUCUGACAAAGCGGGGUACGGUGGCUCCGCGGUGCCACUAUCCCGGCAAGGACCGCUUGCAGCUGGUCACCAUCUGGCUGUGGCAGGCCACCAUACAUAUCCUGCAGCUGGGCCAAGUCUGGAGGUACAUCAGGACACUCUACCUCGGCCUCAUGUCCCGUCACCAGAAGGAGCACCAGCGCCGCUGGUACUGGGCUAUGAUGUUCGAGUAUGCAGAUGUCAACAUGCUUCGGCUGCUGGAGACUUUCCUGGAGUCGGCGCCUCAGCUGGUCCUGCAGCUGUGCAUCAUGAUCCAGGAGAAUCGUGCAGAGACGCUACAAUGCAUCUCCUCCCUCGCUUCCCUCCUGUCUCUCGCCUGGGUCUUGGCAUCCUACCACAAACUGCUGCGGGACUCGCGUGACGACCAGCGCAGCAUGAGCUACCGUGGUGCCCUGCUGCACCUCUUCUGGCGUCUCUUCACCAUCUCAUCCCGCGUCCUCUCACUUGCCCUUUUUGCCUCACUCUUUCAUAUCUACUUUGGCAUCUUUGUGGUGGUCCACUGGUCGGCCAUGGCCUUCUGGGUGGUGCACGGGGGCACCGAUUUCUGCAUGUCCAAAUGGGAAGAGGUGCUUUUCAACAUGGUGGUGGGCAUUGUCUACAUCUUCUGCUGGUUUAACGUGAAGGAGGGCCAGACACGACACAGAAUGAUUACCUACUAUACUGUGGUGUUGGCCGAGAACACCAUCCUCACGGGCCUGUGGUACACCUACAGGGACCCUGUACUGACCGACUCAUACGCCAUGCCGGCAUUGUGCGGCGUCUACUUAACGUUUGCUGGCGGCGUCCUGGUGAUGCUGUUGUACUACGGCUUCCUGCACCCCGCGACUGCCCACCUCCAGCCGAGCCCCGCCUCCUCCUGCUGCGCCCAACUGCUAUGGGGUCUUCCCCUUCCCCCUUCUGCACCGCCUACUGCCCCACCUACCCCUGCCCACAUGACCAAGUCCCAGACAGAUGAGGAUGUGGCUGAAACAUGUCUUCCCGUCUUCCAGGUCAGGUCAGUGCCCCCCACUUCCAAACCUGAGGGCCCAUUUAUAAAGAUCGACAUGCCCAGGAAGCGUUACCCGGCGUGGGACGCCCACUACGUUGACCGGCGCCUGCGGAGGACUAUAAACAUCCUGCAGUACAUCACACCGGCCGCUGUGGGCAUCCGCUACCGUGAUGGACCCCUGCUGUAUGAACUUCUACAAUAUGAGUCUUCACUUUGAUACACACACACACUGUGAAGAGAAAUGUUUGUCUUCAAAGUUAAAAGUUCACUGAUGAAUAAGAAACACGUCGCACUUGGUAUAAGCACAGAGCCACAAAACCAUUCUGGCACAUUUUAAUGCACACACCCUCACAAAAACACACACAUACCUUGCGAGUACCUUCAACCUGCGAGUCCCUUGACCCUGACUCAACAAGCUGCCUCAUUGAGAGUCUGAAAUCUCCUCCUCUCUAUUUGCAACUAGCACCGUUCAUCUGUGUUGGAGCUCCAGAACCGUGAGCAUAUUUUAUACCAGAUCCAUAUGCUACAGAUUGUUUACGUUAUAUCACACACAAAUGUACUAAUUUCUCAACAGCAAUGAGACACUGAAAAGAGGAAAUUGAUUUUACACUGCGGGGUUGAAUUAUUUGAGGAAUUAGGUCAAGUCAACACAAAUCAGCCGCAGUAGUUAAUAAAAUGGUAAUCUUAAUUACAUGUAUAGAGCUCGUGCACCUACAUCAUAAAAUCACGUGACUUUUGUUUACCUCGCCAUAUUGCCGGUCAAGCUAAGUCUGAGUCUUGUCCGAUACCAUCAGACAUUUAGAAGGUGAAAAUAAACGACGGUACGUGGAAAAACUUAUAAACUCGGCGUAGAGGACCCGUAUUUAAUGCCAAAUCGAUGUUUUCACCAAUAAGAAAUUGGACUGUUAAUUCACUUUCGCCUGUCUUGGACAACUGGAUAUACACAUGGAUAUGGUGAGUAAGUCAUCAAGAUUUACACGGAAAAGUUUGAAAGUGUAUAAAAGUCUGGACGCAUAAGAAUACUUUGUUGCUGGAUCUGUUCUCAUCAGGAAUAAAUCUCACAUAGCAACGGUUUUGACGGCUUGUGAACAUGGAAGUAUGUUGGACGACAUGUUAACCUUUGGCGGAAUCCAUCGAUCCUUUCAGCUAGUAUUCAAUAAAAAUACCAAUAUUUAAAUAAAUGACCCCUGGUUUUACACAAACUCGGAUUCAUUAACUAUGACUGAAAAAAAAAAGAGGACAAUGUCGUCUCUAAGGAAUGUACAUGAAAGCGAUUGCGGUCACACUUAACCUCCGUAAACCUCUGCAACAGACAGUUUUUUUUUUUAACACGCAUCAUUCUCAAAUGAGUCAACUUGGCCUUAUAAAUACUUUUUGGUAAUAUGAGAUUGAAAAGAAUAAUUCCUACUUGAAAUGAAGCGAUCACUACAUAGGCGUGUGUAUAUUUUGGUUGGGCACCAUCCAUCACAUUUAAUUGCCGAAAUCCAUUGAUAUUUUCUGGUCUUUUCAGAUGGCGUUCCAUAGAAUGAUCUCUGAAUAUCUGUCUCGUCUGUUGUGAUAACCAACAGCACAACAGGUCUUGGGUAGUGUAAAUAUUCUCCUCCAGUUCAAUGUCGAGCAGCUCUGUUUGACCAGCAAUAGCUUCUUUUCCUUUCGGCUUGUCCCGUUAGGGGUCGCCACAGCGUGUUAUCUUUAGAUGAACGCAUAUUUGUUUGGCACAUUUUUACGCCGGAUGCCCUUCCUGACGCAACCCCUCUGGAUUUAGCUGGGGAGAGACGCUUACAGCACCUGGUAUUCCCAGGCGGUCUCCCAUCCAUGUACUAACCAGGGCCAAACCCGUUUAGCUUCUGAGUUCUGACGGAAUCUGGCGUUCUCAGGUUAGCAUGGUCAUAAGCAUUUGACCGGCAAUAUGGUGCUGUGAAAACGGUGACGUCACGUGCACAAGCUCGAUAUGGCUUUCAACAUCCCCCCAGUUUGCUGGAUUUUGGGACAGUUUGAGAAAUUCCAAGGACUUGAGCUGUAGAUUAGGCUCGUAACAAGAGAUAACGAUAAACUGCAAAUGUUAGCAUGUAUUUAAAGUGAAGGAAAAUGCUUAAUUUUGUUGUCAACAAACAAGUACUAUGAAUAAUCACAGAUGGAGAGAGAAAAUUUGUUCUCUCCCCUUCCUGUUAUCAUUAUAAGAGUUAAUGUCUAAAAUAGGAUCUACGGUAAUUUGUGAGUAAUAAGAUUGACAUUUACCUAAAAGAAACAGAAUUUCACCAUGAGCAAAUGCAAGACUAUUCUCAUGAAUAAUUUUCCUUAUCCGUGUUUUCUAAUUUUGACAGACAAGACUAUCCACUCAUCUAUAGACACCUACAGCUAAGCUAUGAUUUUUAUUUUUCACUGUUUGUUUUUCCUGUAAUCCAAUCUGUUACAUUGGCAGGAGUCAAAACGUACUGUAAAUAGAAUAUUUGUAAUGUCUCGAUCCCGUCAUCAGGGCCCCGCGUUAACACGUUGUGAGGCUUUGGAUUGAGGGCUGGGGUUGGUUGGGGAAGCCUUCUGGCAUCAAACAGGGUAAACGUUUACUUUAGGCAUUACACAUAUGCACACGCACGUAACGCACACACAUGCAAGCGUUAUUUCGCUGCUGUCUUGGGAACGUACAGAGCAUAAAAAAGAGCUACAGAGUCAAAUGAACCCGGAAUUUUGAUGGUGAACCUUGAGCGACUUUUUGUUUAUGAUGGCUAAACCUGACCAAAUGUAUACUGGUUGAAUGAGAAUCAAAAAACAAGGUUUACUGGGAAGAUUAACCUUGUAAUUAAAUAACUAUAGGGGGGGGGACAAAAACAUUUGGAUUCAUUGGAAAUUCCAAAUCUCUUCCAUACAAAUUGUAGAAGGAAUUUGUGAUUCUACAUGUUUUUCUGAUUAAUUAUUAUAUGAAUGUUCAUUAUGAUGGUGUACGAGUAUAGAUAUAAUGCACUUUUCUUUCCUUGUUUUUAUUCCCUUUCUGCUUUGGAGUUUAUCUGCCUUACAAAUUUAUGUUGCCAGAUACCUUGAUGUGCCCGAUGGAAAUACAGUUGGGAUUGCAGCUGAUUUGAAAUCUACAAACUACCAAUGAGAUAGUUUACACUACUUUCUGUGGUGCUACAGUUCAUUUGCUGCCAACAGAUGAGUAGGUUAGUCGAGGGGAAGAUGCAAUAGCUCAUACGCUUACAGUAUGUGCAAAUAUGUAACACACACACUUCAUAAGCAUGCAUCAUUAAGGAGCAAAAAGGGCAGAUUGUCACUUUGGAUUUUCUGGUGCAACUUGAGUACUGCCUUCAGUUUGUGGCCAUAAGGCUGCAGCCACUUGGACCACUGCUAUGCAACUCUCUCAUUGCAGGGAGAUGUGCUUAGUUAACCCACUCACAACACACACACACACACAACUGUGUGUCCUGUACAGCAUGGUGCUAAUUUGUUCAUGCAUACAGUGAAAGUAGUGUAAUACAGUGAUAACCUGGGAUGUAUCCUGACCUCACCUCUUGAACAGACAUACAGAUACAGUAAAGUAACACCUGACCCCUUUACAAUUUAGGAAAACAGUCUCAUGGUGCUAUCAAGUGACGAUGGCUUGGUUUUUGCAUUGUCCUGGUUGCGGUGUGUGAUGGAGAAUUUUGCCAAAUAUGUGUAGUGAGCUCCAACACUCACUGAAGCCUGCCUCAUUCACUCGGCAGGAGUGGAUACGGACAUCUUUGAAGGGAAAAUCCAGGAGGCGUCGGUGCUAUACACACUCCUAUGGGCAGGAACUGUACGAGGGGUAAGGGGGCACUGUAUACAAACACAACAAAAUGUGCCGUCGAAAAAAAAAAACAGACAGGAAUUCAUGUUGUAGAGUGUGAACUGCUUAUUUUUAAGAGUUUCAUGGGUGCUAUGUUCACAUACGAAGCAGCCGCCAUAACUACAGUACCACUCCACCACCUCCAGAGCUCCAGCCAAUCAGGUGUUUCACAGGCAAAUCAGGUCUGACACAACCAAAAAGUACUGUCACUUUUCUGUUUUGAUUGAAGAGGUUUCACACACACACAAAAUGGCAGUUUACCAUUCAUGAGUUGCAGCCAUUUUUCACAUUAUCACAUUCACAAGUGUUUGGGCAACUGACGUAAUACCACGCACAAACACACUGUCUUGGCUUGAGAUCGCAUGACUGACUUGGGUGUUGCAGAUCCUUCUGUUUCUUUGUCUUUAGAAAGUCUUGAGUUGCUUUUUCCAGUACAUAUGGCCCACUGUUUAUCCAUACAGUACUACGAAGUCAAGCAUAAAGUGCUGCCCACCUAACAUCACCGGUGACCCAGUUCCACUGGCAGCUGCAUGUGUCCAUGUCACAGGAUGUGUGGUUGCUUCAGGCAUGAAAAUUCCUCCCGACGUACCCCCACACCACCACCACACCAACAACAAAAACAGGAUCCAACAUUUUAAGCGUGCAAAAGACAAAAAUCA
Molecule: RNA transcript, 6881 nt
Organism: Syngnathoides biaculeatus (alligator pipefish)
Lineage: Eukaryota; Metazoa; Chordata; Actinopteri; Syngnathiformes; Syngnathidae
Gene: xkr6a
Gene name: XK, Kell blood group complex subunit-related family, member 6a
Exons: 5
Source: RefSeq, a predicted model, not a curated record